AACGAACGCUGGCGGCAUGCCUAAUACAUGCAAGUCGAACGAGAUCUUCGGAUCUAGUGGCGCACGGGUGCGUAACGCGUGGGAAUCUGCCCUUGGGUUCGGAAUAACUUCUGGAAACGGAAGCUAAUACCGGAUGAUGACGUAAGUCCAAAGAUUUAUCGCCCAAGGAUGAGCCCGCGUAGGAUUAGCUAGUUGGUGGGGUAAAGGCCCACCAAGGCGACGAUCCUUAGCUGGUCUGAGAGGAUGAUCAGCCACACUGGGACUGAGACACGGCCCAGACUCCGACGGGAGGCAGCAGUAGGGAAUAUUGGACGAUGGGCGAAAGCCUGAUCAAGCAAUGCCGGGUGAGUGAUGAAGGCCUUAGGGUUGUAAAGCUGUUUUACACGGGAUGAUAAUGACAGUAACGGGAGAAGAAGCUCCGGCUAACUCCGUG
RNAcentral lists this ribosomal RNA (433 nucleotides) under uncultured bacterium. RNAcentral's name for it is "partial 16S ribosomal RNA". It matches the Rfam family "Bacterial small subunit ribosomal RNA", at positions 29 to 507 of the family's 1533-position model. The record is from RNAcentral.